UAGCUUCAUAUAUCAUGUUAGUAGCUCGAUUCGUAGAUUUGCAUUAUUUUUAAAUGAAAUCUGAAUUGGAGCUUUAUAUGCUAGUUUUAUUAUACAUGUUGGACUUGGAAUUAACUUAGGAGAAACUAUAAAUUCUACACUAUCAUUUUCUGAAAACUAUCAGAUUUAGUUUUAGGAGUUGUAGUUUGGGUUGUAUCGCCACAGUUUGUAGGCGGUGGAUAUUCAGAAUAGUGUAGAAUGAAAUUACGCUUGUGCUCGGAUGCCGAGUUUAUUUUUACAGUAAUGUAUAGACUGUUUCGGACUGUCGGGUGCCGUUGUCGUUGACGAUGGACUCAGGUUGCUGUUUUUGCAUCAUAUUGUGCCGAAGGCAUG
This 372-nucleotide long non-coding RNA is filed under the name Ananas comosus (pineapple). RNAcentral's name for it is "long non-coding RNA (ACOM_LNC044490)". Lineage: Eukaryota; Viridiplantae; Streptophyta; Magnoliopsida; Poales; Bromeliaceae. The record is from RNAcentral.